This is a non-coding RNA of Salmo salar (Atlantic salmon), 1041 nucleotides long. Lineage: Eukaryota; Metazoa; Chordata; Actinopteri; Salmoniformes; Salmonidae. The record is from the annotation of a RefSeq genome assembly.
CGCAUUCUCUGUGAAGUGCGUGUGUAAUAACGCAAUUCGUUAUUAUUCACUCCUUCUAAACAACGCACGUUUUUAGAAAUGGGGUAAAGUCUACAAACCUUAGUCCACUCUGUUCGUAACAGAUUAUAGUUUUGGGAACAGAAAACUGUAUUGAGAUCAAAUGUUUUUAUCGAUGAGAAAAUGUGCAGAAUUUCGGCUAAAAUCUAUCUCGUUCCAUCUUCUCCCACUGACGGUCACUGGGCUUCUUCUAACUACCAUAUUUGGAAGUAACAGUGCCCCCACCCUCACAAUCCUGCCCCCCUCUAGUGAGGAGCUGUCCAGUACAACAACAGCCACACUGACGUGUCUGGCCAACAAGGGCUUCCCCUCAGACUGGACCAUGAGCUGGAAAGUGGACGGGACCAGCCAGAAGCAGGAGGCCAGUCCCGGGGUCCUGGAGAAGGACGCCCUGUACAGCUGGAGCAGCACUCUGACUCUCACUGGCCAGGAGUGGACCAAGGCAGGAGAGGUGACCUGUGAAGCCCAGAAGAAUUCCCAGAGUCCAGACACCAAGACCCUGAGGAGGGCUGACUGUUCUGGGUAGGACCCCUCAGUCACACACCCCUGUGGAGAGAGGCUGCUGGUUCCUCUGCUUUCACUCUGUUCUGAGAUCAGAUGUUCUCUGUCUUAUUGAUCACUGACAUGUAGACUAACAGGGGACUUUGCUUGAGUUCAUGUGUCAAUCCUCUCUGUAGACUGAGGUUGUAUCUAUCAGGUAUGAAGGGAAGACCCAGAUGCAGACCACUUUGAAUAAACAAUAGUUUAAUGUUCCAACAGGGGCAAGCAGUAGACAGGUCAAUGCAGGCAGGGGUCAGAAAACCAGAGGUUGGGCAACGGUACCGGACAGCAGGCAGACUCAGGGUCUGGGUAAGGCAGAGGACGGUAAUCCAGAGGGGGGGCAGAGGUACUGGUCAGCAGGCAGGCUCAGGUAGAGUGGUCAGGCAGGCGGGCUCAGAGUCAGGACAGGCAAGGGUCAAAACCGGGAGGGAAAGAAAAGAGAGA